AUACCACCACUGCAAUUGUGAUUUGAGUAAUGAAAGCCCUUUGGUAGUGGUCUCCUAUGCAAAAUGCAAAGUGUAUCUCACUAUAUGGGAGGAAGUAAACUUGGGAGAGCAUGUGCUUGCCUCUUAGUAGAUCAAAGAACAAGCUGCAUGAGAUCAGUUUAAUAAAGCAGUCAGAUAGCUGCAUGCAAUUUGAAAACUAUUUUACAUCAAGGAUCUGAAAAUCUUCAUUAAGAUUAGUGUGGAUACAGGACAGUCGAGAUCAGUACACUAAGGAGCGUCUAGAUUCAGUAAUUGAUCAGUACACUAAGCGUAUGGAUUCAGUAACUACUGUACUAUUUUGAGUAAACAUAUUGUUGGCUACUUCAGUAUUCAGUAUUCAGUAAACAGAUUGUUGGCUAAA
Long non-coding RNA from Zingiber officinale, 400 nucleotides. RefSeq lists it as uncharacterized. The record is from RefSeq and is a predicted model, not a curated record. NCBI's taxonomy places the organism in Eukaryota, Viridiplantae, Streptophyta, Magnoliopsida, Zingiberales, Zingiberaceae. The transcript is spliced from 2 exons.